Molecule: long non-coding RNA, 2097 nt
Organism: Mirounga angustirostris (Northern elephant seal)
Lineage: Eukaryota; Metazoa; Chordata; Mammalia; Carnivora; Phocidae
Exons: 4
Source: RefSeq, a predicted model, not a curated record
AAAGAAUUACUUAAACAAGUUGAAAAUGGUCCCUCUAGGGAAAGGGAAAUGGGGGGAGGGGAGUAGGUAGAGAGAGGCUGAGGACUGCUCUUUGUCUUAAUUAACCUUGUAGAACUGGUUGACUUUUUAAAUUAUGUGCCUGGUAUAACGUUGAUAAAAUUUAAAAAAUAAUUUAAAAAUGAGUGUGGUGAAUGAGUAGUGUGACAUUAACACUUACUGAGGGUCUACAGAGCCAGCAGGUGUCUCACAUCUAUGUGCUAACCUGCUGGUGCCAGGUUUGCUGAGCUGCUGCAGGUCAUGCGAAACACAUGUGUGAAGGUGCUUCCAUUAGGGAGGUAGCAUGGGGGCUAAUCCCACACCUGUGCUUACUGCUGCCUCGAUGACUUAGUUGCUUAGCCUAACUCUCAGCGUCUCAACUUGGGCAAUCCUGUGAGGGUUUUGUGAAUAAAUGUCUAUAGAAUGCCGAGUGCGCAGGGCCUAGAUCUACAGCCAGCUGCUUCAGGUCCUAAUUUGGAGAAGAGCAAGGGAUAGAGAUGUAGUGAGUGGGACAGAAAACUAUGCGCUCUGCUAAGUGACAGACUCUGGGGCUGGCAGCAUGAAAAGCACAAGAAGGCAGUCCUGCUUCUGGGUUGGUUCAUACCCAGAGCAUCAGACUUUGAUUCUUAGACACUUGUGUCUUAAAUUUCAGUGAAAACUGGAAAGUUUCUGCUUCUGGAGUUUGAAAUGGAGACUCCACGGGGGAAGUUUCUGAGACUGAGUCCUGUUGUCAACUACCACCCUGAGGGGCGGCACAGCAUGGGGCCAGAUCUCAAUACAAGGACUUGACUCCAUGAUCUCCAGGGUCCGUUCCUAGCAGCCAUCUAGUUGUCACUUUGAAAAUCAAUGGAAGGACCGACCUUGAAAGGACUGUGUCCUUAUACCACGAGGAAGAGACACCAGGGGAUGUGGGCUCACAGAGAAAAGGCCAUGGGAGCACACAGCAAGAAGGUGGCCAUCUGCAAAGCCAAGGAGAGAAGAGGUAGGAGAAACCAAACCUGCUGACACUUUGAUCUUGGACUUCCAGCCUCCAGAACUGUGAGAAAUAAAUUUCUGCUUUUUAAGCCCCCUGCUCUGUGGUAUUUUAUUACAGCAGCUCUAGCAAACUAGUACACUCACCUAACAGCUCUGCUUCCCCAGAACAAAUUCUCCCUUCAUACUGAAGGAUAAUGUACAAAAAUGGUUCCUAGAGGCACUCUGGCCAGCCAGCAAAGGGAGGAGGCCGUGUGGCUGGUGGUUAGGACUGGGUGUUAGAAGCUUGUCCUGUCUAGUUAAUGGAUUAUGCUUGAAUGGCUGAGUGAAUGGAAACCAGCUUUGUCUGCUCUUAGACACUAAGUUUGUUUUCUUUUGCCUAUAUACCAAGAUUCUGAAGCUCAACAGAAUGAUAAACUGUUUAAAGAGCUUUUAGUACAAGGGAAAGAUGUAGGCCCAUGAGUAAAGCUUAACUUUACUCUUUGUGAUGUGCUAGGUAAUUUGAAUAAUGAUACCUUAGAAAUAGGAGACAAAGUUUAAAUCUUGGUUGGGAGCUCCAAGAGUAAUUAUGUGGGCUUCUUUUGAGGUUGAAUUCUGUCAGAAUUAAAAAGACAAAUCUGGCAAUUCUGCAUUACUCCCUACACAUUAACUUCAUAGGUUUAUUCAUUCAACAGAUUUUCUUGAUCACUUACUACAUGCCAAUUUCUAUUCUAAAUCAUACAGUUGAAUGGGGGAAAUAUAGACAAGAGCCUGAGGAUAAAAAUAAAUUCUAUGGCCUGACAUUUAAAAAUCCAGUUCAGUCUGGGCCCUGACAACCUCUUCAGUUACCUUCUACAACUCCUAUUCAAAUGCCUUUCUCCAAACAAAUCAUCCCAGUGAAACCUUUCUAAACUUUGUACUUUCACUCUUGUUCCCUACCUGGAUUGCUUUCUAUACCUUAUUUUAAUCCUAUCCAUCCAGCAAAGUGUGGUAGUUAGCCACCCAGGGGAAGCCAGUACCAAGUCUUUUUUUUUUUUUUUAAAGAUUUUAUUUAUUUAUUUGAGACAGAGAGAAUGAGAGACAGAGAGCAUGAGAGGGAGGAGGGUCGGA